Molecule: ribosomal RNA, 724 nt
Filed under: Burkholderia sp. SMCC G989
Lineage: Bacteria; Pseudomonadati; Pseudomonadota; Betaproteobacteria; Burkholderiales; Burkholderiaceae
Description: bacterial SSU rRNA
Rfam family: Bacterial small subunit ribosomal RNA
Source: RNAcentral
GGCUCAGAUUGAACGCUGGCGGCAUGCCUUACACAUGCAAGUCGAACGGCAGCACGGGUGCUUGCACCUGGUGGCGAGUGGCGAACGGGUGAGUAAUACAUCGGAACAUGUCCUGUAGUGGGGGAUAGCCCGGCGAAAGCCGGAUUAAUACCGCAUACGAUCUACGGAUGAAAGCGGGGGACCUUCGGGCCUCGCGCUAUAGGGUUGGCCGAUGGCUGAUUAGCUAGUUGGUGGGGUAAAGGCCUACCAAGGCGACGAUCAGUAGCUGGUCUGAGAGGACGACCAGCCACACUGGGACUGAGACACGGCCCAGACUCCUACGGGAGGCUGCAGUGGGGAAUUUUGGACAAUGGGCGAAAGCCUGAUCCAGCAAUGCCGCGUGUGUGAAGAAGGCCUUCGGGUUGUAAAGCACUUUUGUCCGGAAAGAAAUCCUUGGCUCUAAUACAGCCGGGGGAUGACGGUACCGGAAGAAUAAGCACCGGCUAACUACGUGCCAGCAGCCGCGGUAAUACGUAGGGUGCGAGCGUUAAUCGGAAUUACUGGGCGUAAAGCGUGCGCAGGCGGUUUGCUAAGACCGAUGUGAAAUCCCCGGGCUCAACCUGGGAACUGCAUUGGUGACUGGCAGGCUAGAGUAUGGCAGAGGGGGGUAGAAUUCCACGUGUAGCAGUGAAAUGCGUAGAGAUGUGGAGGAAUACCGAUGGCGAAGGCAGCCCCCUGGGCCAAU